Molecule: ribosomal RNA, 466 nt
Filed under: Digitipes sp. 2 JJ-2011
Lineage: Eukaryota; Metazoa; Arthropoda; Chilopoda; Scolopendromorpha; Scolopendridae
Description: partial 16S ribosomal RNA
Rfam family: Bacterial large subunit ribosomal RNA
Source: RNAcentral
GAGACCUGCCCAAUGAUAAUAUUAAUGGCCGCGGUAUUUUGACCGUGCGAAGGUAGCAUAAUAAAUAGUCUAUUAAAUGUGGUCUGGAAUGAAUGGUUUGACGGGGAAUAACUUUUUUAGUUUUAUGGAUGAAUUUUAAUUAUUAGUGAAAAUGCUAAUGUGAUUUAGGGGGACGAGAAGACCCUAUAGAGCUUUAUAUAAUACAGAGAUUUGGUGGUAAAAAUUCUCUUUCUAUAUUUUGUUGGGGCGACAAUAAAUGAAAACAUUUAUAUGAUUUUCUUUUAUAAAAGGUUAUUUGAUCCACUAUUAGUGAUUAAUAGACUAAGUUACCUUAGGGAUAACAGCGUAAUUUUAUUUUAGAGUUCUUAUCGACAAUAAAGUUUGCGACCUCGAUGUUGGAUUAAGAGUCUUUUGGGGUGUAGCAGUUCCAAAAAGUAGUCUGUUCGACUAUUAAAAUCUUACAUGA